Molecule: transfer RNA, 76 nt
Filed under: Acidithiobacillus thiooxidans
Lineage: Bacteria; Pseudomonadati; Pseudomonadota; Acidithiobacillia; Acidithiobacillales; Acidithiobacillaceae
Also listed under: 27 other names
Description: tRNA-Thr
Rfam family: tRNA
About the family: Transfer RNA (tRNA) molecules are approximately 80 nucleotides in length. Their secondary structure includes four short double-helical elements and three loops (D, anti-codon, and T loops). Further hydrogen bonds mediate the characteristic L-shaped molecular structure. tRNAs have two regions of fundamental functional importance: the anti-codon, which is responsible for specific mRNA codon recognition, and the 3' end, to which the tRNAs corresponding amino acid is attached (by aminoacyl-tRNA synthetases). tRNAs cope with the degeneracy of the genetic code in two manners: having more than one tRNA (with a specific anti-codon) for a particular amino acid; and 'wobble' base-pairing, i.e. permitting non-standard base-pairing at the 3rd anti-codon position.
Source: RNAcentral
GCCGUUGUAGCUCAGUCGGUAGAGCAACUGAUUCGUAAUCAGUAGGUCAGAGGUUCGAUUCCCCUCAACGGCACCA